This 497-nucleotide ribosomal RNA is filed under the name uncultured bacterium. RNAcentral's name for it is "partial 16S ribosomal RNA". It matches the Rfam family "Bacterial small subunit ribosomal RNA", at positions 28 to 507 of the family's 1533-position model. The record is from RNAcentral.
GAUGAACGCUGGCGGCGUGCCUAAUACAUGCAAGUCGAGCGAACGGACGAGAAGCUUGCUUCUCUGAUGUUAGCGGCGGACGGGUGAGUAACACGUGGAUAACCUACCUAUAAGACUGGGAUAACUUCGGGAAACCGGAGCUAAUACCGGAUAAUAUUUUGAACCGCAUGGUUCAAAAGUGAAAGACGGUCUUGCUGUCACUUAUAGAUGGAUCCGCGCUGCAUUAGCUAGUUGGUAAGGUAACGGCUUACCAGGGCAACGAUGCAUAGCCGACCUGAGAGGGUGAUCGGCCACACUGGAACUGAGACACGGUCCAGACUCCUACGGGAGGCAGCAGUAGGGAAUCUUCCGCAAUGGGCGAAAGCCUGACGGAGCAACGCCGCGUGAGUGAUGAAGGUCUUCGGAUCGUAAAACUCUGUUAUUAGGGAAGAACAUAUGUGUAAGUAACUGUGCACAUCUUGACGGUACCUAAUCAGAAAGCCACGGCUAACUAUGUG